AGUACGAGAGGACCGGAGUGGACAGACCUCUAGUGUUCUGGUUGUGUCGCCAGAUGCAUUGCCAGGUAGCUACGUCUGGAAAGGAUAACCGCUGAAAGCAUCUAAGCGGGAAGCCAACCCCAAAACAAGAUCUCUCUUUUCCCUUCGGGGAAAUAGUAGAGUCCUUGUAGACUACGAGGUCGAUAGGCCGGGUGUGUAAGCACAGUAAUGUGUUCAGCUAACCGGUACUAAUCAGUCGCGAGGCUUGACCUU
RNAcentral lists this ribosomal RNA (252 nucleotides) under Nitrospinota bacterium. RNAcentral's name for it is "partial 23S ribosomal RNA". It matches the Rfam family "Bacterial large subunit ribosomal RNA", at positions 2680 to 2925 of the family's 2925-position model. Lineage: Bacteria; Pseudomonadati; Nitrospinota. The record is from RNAcentral.